UAGCAAGAUGAAGUCACAGACCCAGGUCCUCAUAUCCCUGCUGCUUUGGGUGUCUGGUACCUGUGCAGACAUCUUAAUGACUCAGUCUCCAUCCUCCCUUGCUGUGUCAUCAGGAGAGAAAGUCUCCAUCAGCUGCAGGUCCAGUCAGAGCCUUUUAUACAGCAGCAACCAAAAGAACUACUUGGCUUCGUACCAGCAGAAACCAGGGCAGUCCCCUAAGCUGCUGAUCUACUUUGCAUCCACUCGGGAUACUGGGAUCCCUGAUCGCUUCACAGGCAGUGGAUCUGGGACAGACUUUACUCUCAGCAUUAACAGUGUGCAGGCUGAAGAUCUGGCAGUUUAUUACUGUCAACAGUAUUAUAGUACUCCUCCCACAAUGGUUCAGCCUCCAACACAAACCUCAUUGAAAGUCUCACCAGCUGUCUUCACCACACACAGCCCUGGCCCUCAACACUUCCCUCUUUUGCCUGGUAGCAAGUAUGCCUGA
Molecule: non-coding RNA, 487 nt
Organism: Psammomys obesus (fat sand rat)
Lineage: Eukaryota; Metazoa; Chordata; Mammalia; Rodentia; Muridae
Source: the annotation of a RefSeq genome assembly